RNAcentral lists this ribosomal RNA (447 nucleotides) under uncultured bacterium. RNAcentral's name for it is "bacterial SSU rRNA". It matches the Rfam family "Bacterial small subunit ribosomal RNA", at positions 348 to 786 of the family's 1533-position model. The record is from RNAcentral.
GCAGCAGUGGGGAAUAUUGCACAAUGGGCGAAAGCCUGAUGCAGCUAUGCCGCGUGUAUGAAGAAGGCCUUAGGGUUGUAAAGUACUUUCAUCGGGGAGGAAAAAACAAAACUAAUAAUUUUAUUUCUUGACGUUACCCGAAAAAGAAGCACCGGCUAACUCCGUGCCAGCAGCCGCGGUAAUACGGAGGGUGCUAGCGUUAAUCAGAAUUACUGGGCGUAAAGAGCACGUAGGUGGUUUUUUAAGUCAGAUGUGAAAUCCCUGGGCUUAACCUAGGAACUGCAUUUUGAAACUGAAAUACUAGAGUAUCGUAGAGGGAGGUAGAAUUCUAGGUGUAGCGGUGAAAUGCGUAGAUAUCUGGAGGAAUACCUGUGGCGAAAGCGGCCUCCUAAACGAAUACUGACACUGAGGUGCGAAAGCGUGGGGAGCAAACAGGGAUUAGAUACC